RNAcentral lists this ribosomal RNA (253 nucleotides) under uncultured bacterium. RNAcentral's name for it is "partial 16S ribosomal RNA". It matches the Rfam family "Bacterial small subunit ribosomal RNA", at positions 524 to 776 of the family's 1533-position model. The record is from RNAcentral.
UACGUAGGGGGCUAGCGUUGUCCGGAAUCAUUGGGCGUAAAGCGCGUGUAGGCGGUUCGGUAAGUCCGCUGUGAAAGUCGGGGGCUCAACCCUCGAAUGCCGGUGGAUACUGUCGGGCUAGAGUGCGGAAGGGGCAAUCAGAAUUCUUGGUGUAGCGGUGAAAUGCGUAGAUAUCAAGAGGAAUACCUGAGGUGAAGACGGGUUGCUAGGCCGACACUGACGCUGAAGCGCGAAAGCCAGGGGAGCAAACGGG